CCUUAUGAAUAAGCAUCGGCUAACUCCGUGCCAGCAGCCGCGGUAAUACGGAGGAUGCGAGCGUUAUCCGGAUUUAUUGGGUUUAAAGGGAGCGCAGACGGGUCGUUAAGUCAGCUGUGAAAGUUUGGGGCUCAACCUUAAAAUUGCAGUUGAUACUGGCGUCCUUGAGUGCGGUUGAGGUGUGCGGAAUUCGUGGUGUAGCGGUGAAAUGCUUAGAUAUCACGAAGAACUCCGAUUGCGAAGGCAGCACACUAAUCCGUAACUGACGUUCAUGCUCGAAAGUGUGGGUAUCAAACAGGAUUAGAUACCCUGGUAGUCCACACGGUAAACGAUGGAUACUCGCUGUUGGCGAUAUACUGUCAGCGGCUUAGCGAAAGCGUUAAGUAUCCCACCUGGGGAGUACGCCGGCAACGGUGCAACUCAAA
This 425-nucleotide ribosomal RNA is filed under the name uncultured Bacteroidota bacterium. Its description in RNAcentral is "bacterial SSU rRNA". It matches the Rfam family "Bacterial small subunit ribosomal RNA", at positions 478 to 905 of the family's 1533-position model. Lineage: Bacteria; Pseudomonadati; Bacteroidota. The record is from RNAcentral.